Anguilla rostrata (American eel) is the source of this 440-nucleotide long non-coding RNA. RefSeq lists it as uncharacterized. The transcript has 2 exons. Lineage: Eukaryota; Metazoa; Chordata; Actinopteri; Anguilliformes; Anguillidae. The record is from RefSeq and is a predicted model, not a curated record.
AAGUAAUAUUUGUGGAACACUCAGACCAACAAGUGUUUAUAUACACACUGUACACUUUAUGUAAAUAGGAAUUCCCAUGAGAGGCGGUUAUGUAAAUCUCAUGAACCCCAUGUUCUUUAAAACACAGAAAUUACAGUACAUAUUCAGUGACGAGCAGCACUGUUCACUUCUUGUCUUUUGUUGCUGUAAAUGAAAUAAAAUGGAGGCCUUAGUAUUCAUCAUAGCUUUGCUGUUUGCGUUUAAAUAUGCUCAUUGUGACAUCACACUGACAGAGUCUGCUCCACAGAUGAAGAAGCCUGGAGAUUCCGUGAGGCUCUCCUGCAAAAUUACUGGAUUCUCACUCAGCAGCGACAGUGUGCACUGGGUUCGACAGGCUCCAAACAAAGGGCUGCAAUGGGUCGGAUAUUACGAUGGUUCUUCUGACGAUCGUUUCAAUGAUA